RNAcentral lists this ribosomal RNA (466 nucleotides) under uncultured bacterium. RNAcentral describes it as "bacterial SSU rRNA". It matches the Rfam family "Bacterial small subunit ribosomal RNA", at positions 338 to 795 of the family's 1533-position model. The record is from RNAcentral.
CCUANGGGGGGCAGCAGUCGGGAAUUUUGGGCAAUGGGCGAAAGCCUGACCCAGCAACGCCGCGUGAGGGAUGAAGGCCUUCGGGUCGUAAACCUCUGUCGGGAGGGAAGAACGUCUUCGGGGUAAAUAAUCCCGGAGGCUGACGGUACCUCCAAAGGAAGCGCCGGCUAACUCCGUGCCAGCAGCCGCGGUAAUACGGAGGGCGCGAGCGUUGUUCGGAAUCAUGGGGCGUAAAGCGCGUGUAGGCGGCUUGGUAAGUCGAGUGUGAAAGCCCGGGGCUCAACCCCGGAAGGUCGCUCGAAACUGCCUCGCUAGAGUCCCGGAGAGGAAGGCGGAAUUCCCGGUGUAGAGGUGAAAUUCGUAGAUAUCGGGAGGAACACCAGCGGCGAAGGCGGCCUUCUGGACGGUGACUGACGCUGAGACGCGAAAGCGUGGGGAGCAAACAGGAUUAGAUACCCGUNUANUC